RNAcentral lists this ribosomal RNA (433 nucleotides) under uncultured bacterium. Its description in RNAcentral is "partial 16S ribosomal RNA". It matches the Rfam family "Bacterial small subunit ribosomal RNA", at positions 29 to 507 of the family's 1533-position model. The record is from RNAcentral.
AACGAACGCUGGCGGCAUGCCUAACACAUGCAAGUCGAACGAGACCUUCGGGUCUAGUGGCGCACGGGUGCGUAACGCGUGGGAACCUGCCCUUAGGUUCGGUAUACCUCCCCGAGAGGGAUCCUAAUACCACUUAAUGUCUUCGGACCAAGGAUUUAUCGCCUUUGGAUGGGCCCGCGUUGGAUUAGCUAGUUGGUAGGGUAAAAGCCUACCAACGCGACGAUCCAUAGCUGGUCUGAGAGGAUGAUCAGCCACACUGGGACUGAGACACGGCCCAGACUCCUACGGGAGGCAGCAGUGGGGAAUAUUGGACAAUGGGCGAAAGCCUGAUCCAGCAAUGCCGCGUGAGUGAUGAAGGCCUUAGGGUUGUAAAGCUCUUUUACCCGGGAUGAUAAUGACAGUACCGGGAGAAUAAGCUCCGGCUAACUCCGUG